This 90-nucleotide microRNA precursor is filed under the name Canis lupus familiaris (dog). Its description in RNAcentral is "mir-8799 microRNA precursor family". It matches the Rfam family "mir-8799 microRNA precursor family". RNAcentral also lists the same sequence under 1 other name. The record is from Rfam by way of RNAcentral. Lineage: Eukaryota; Metazoa; Chordata; Mammalia; Carnivora; Canidae.
GGGGGAAGACCGGAUCCAGGGCUGUGUCCCUGGCGUCCUGUGCUCCCGGCGUGUGCUGUUGGAUUCAUACUCCCAGCAGUGCAGCCCCCU